Molecule: long non-coding RNA, 1211 nt
Organism: Symphalangus syndactylus (siamang)
Lineage: Eukaryota; Metazoa; Chordata; Mammalia; Primates; Hylobatidae
Source: RefSeq, a predicted model, not a curated record
ACGGAGGCUUCUACCUGCCUGUACCCCCUUUGGAGGGCCCACGAAUACAGAGCUGAGCACAAAAGAUGUUUAAAGGACAUUUAGUCAAAAAUGUCGCUUACAGGUAGGUCGUUAUUUUAGCAAGGUAGUGCAGCGGUAUGGCCGAGUCUACGCUUGGGAAUUCAUUUGCUGACUUAUCAUUUACUGACUAAAGCAAAGUUACUGGGGCCUCAGUUUCCUCAUCUGCAACCCGGGGAGAUGGCCAGUACCCAUCACAAUCGAUUGCUAUUAAGAUUCAAUGAUAAUGCAGAUAAGGCACUUAAUACAGUGUCCCCUCACCGUCCACACCACACGGGCACGCCCGCUUAUUCCUGAGGACCGGGCUGGGACGUCGCCUCCUUUGUGUAGCCUUCCUACCCUGACUUCGCAGACUGCUCCCACCGCCUGGAUCCAUGCCCGUCCGCCCGCCCGCCCGCUCAGGGCUGAACGGCUGAGGUUGGCGCGCGGUGGAGAAAAGAGCCGCAGACUGAGGAAGGUCGGGAAGGAGAAAGGGACACACCAGACGCGGCGUCUUAAUUCCCCUCCACCCACAGGCCCCCGAGCAGCAGCACCUCCGCCCCACCUCCCGCUCGCCCCGCCGGAAGCCGGUCAGAGCCAGCCGGAAGCCCCGCCCCCUAGAGACACCGCGGAUAGGAGGAGCUCCCGCUCUUCGCUCAGCGGACCGCACUGCGGACACCGUGCAGCGCUGUUCACCCAGAAGCCAGCUGUGACCUUGGCUAAGCCAGUGACUUAACUCAGGCCCGUUCCCCGUUCCCACGUUGUUGCCAAGUCUUCAGCCUGGAAAGUAAACUGGCUUCAGGCCGCCUUCUUCUCAAUGACACCACUCCAGCUUCUGAUAUAUCCUCAAAUGCUGCUGCCCACUAUAAAAAAAAAAAUCUCAUCAGUCCUGAUUUCAGAAAAAUUUUAGACCAACAAAUCAGAGACCCUGCACUGAUGGAUCCGCUGGUGCCAUCCAGAUCAAUAAACUGGCUCAUCUGAUCUUGUGGCCCCCAUCCAGGAACCAACUCAGAGCAAGAAGACAGCUUCAACUCCUUAUGCCUUCACCUCUGAUGCGACCUAUCAACACGCCCCACUCCCUGGCCCCCUACCCGCCAAAUUAUCCUUAAAAAAACUCCAGUCCCUAAAUUUUCUGGGAGACUGAUUUGAGUAAUAAACUCUGGUCUCCCAUUCUG